GUGUUGGGACCGCAGGUGUAUGUCAUCAUGUUUGUUGGUGCAGCGCUGGGGAUUGAGCUCACAGCUCCAUGCAUGCCAGGGAACUGGAAUGUGCUAUGUUUAGUGAUCCCUGACUACUGUGCUGACCCCAGUGUCCUUCACACCUCUCCCAUCACACCCUUUCUGUGGUGGCUGGGAAUGCUGGGUUCUGAAGACAUCCUGAAUAUUGAGCCAAGAAGCCUUGCUGUGACUGAAGGGUCCCACUUUGGCUUUCUGAGUUCUGGAUUACAAGACAAUGCUGCCACACCUGACAUGAGGUUCGAAUUUUGCUUCAAGAACUUACUCAAAUGCCAGCACUCCUUCAUGGUCUUCAGAGGAUGGACAAUUCUUCCAAGCAACUUGCCUUUGGUCAAAAACUUCUGCCUAUUUGUGGGCUAUUUGCUGGGCGUCUGUCCAUGAGGGUGACUGUUGUAGACAUGUAGACCAUUCUAGGAGCUUUUUAGCCAUGUGGGAGGACAUUAAAACAAAACUCACUUUGCUGUU
Molecule: long non-coding RNA, 522 nt
Filed under: Cricetulus griseus (Chinese hamster)
Lineage: Eukaryota; Metazoa; Chordata; Mammalia; Rodentia; Cricetidae
Description: lncRNA (ENSCGRG00015038134.1)
Source: RNAcentral